This 429-nucleotide ribosomal RNA is filed under the name bacterium. RNAcentral describes it as "partial 16S ribosomal RNA". It matches the Rfam family "Bacterial small subunit ribosomal RNA", at positions 355 to 776 of the family's 1533-position model. The record is from RNAcentral.
UAGGGAAUCUUCGGCAAUGGGGGCAACCCUGACCGAGCAACGCCGCGUGAGUGAAGAAGGUUUUCGGAUCGUAAAGCUCUGUUGUAAGAGAAGAACGUGUGUGAGAGUGGAAAGUUCACACAGUGACGGUAACUUACCAGAAAGGGACGGCUAACUACGUGCCAGCAGCCGCGGUAAUACGUAGGUCCCGAGCGUUGUCCGGAUUUAUUGGGCGUAAAGCGAGCGCAGGCGGUUUAAUAAGUCUGAAGUUAAAGGCAGUGGCUUAACCAUUGUUCGCUUUGGAAACUGUUAAACUUGAGUGCAGAAGGGGAGAGUGGAAUUCCAUGUGUAGCGGUGAAAUGCGUAGAUAUAUGGAGGAACACCGGUGGCGAAAGCGGCUCUCUGGUCUGUCACUGACGCUGAGGCUCGAAAGCGUGGGGAGCAAACAGG